AUGGACAGUGGAGACGAGUUUUUCUUCCAUCACUUCCUUUGUUCAUCGGACGAUUCGUCAUCGGAUGAUGACGAUCAUGUGGUGGCUGCACUGGUCGUUCACGACCAUAUUCAACGGCAGCUUCCUCGGUACACGAGGUCAGUCCCUGGCCGUGCUCCCAACCUAAACCGCAACAGGGAGAGAGGCCACGCCCUGCUCUAUGCCGAUUACUUUGCCAACACCCCGCUCUUCAGGCCGGAUAAAUUUCGUCACCGUAUUCGUAUGGCAAGGCAUGUGUUCAAUCCUAUCCGAGAGGGAGUGGUUGCUCAUGACCCAUACUUCGAGUGCAAGACGAAUGUCCUUGGCAAGCUUGGAUUCUCCUCCUACCAGAAAUGCACCACGGCCAUCCGCAUACUUGCAUAUGGAAUUCCAGGCGAUUUGAUGGAUGAGUAUGUGCGUAUGAGUGAGACAACAUGUCUGAUGUCAAUGUACAAGUUUUGCCAGGCUGUGAUCGAGGUCUUUGGCCCAGAGUACUUGAGGCAGUCAACUGCCGCUGAUACAAAGAGAUUGUUGGCGACCAACGCAGCUAGAGACUUUCCAGGUAUGCUUGGCAACAUAGAUUGUAUGCACUGGGAGUGGAAGAACUGUCCAUUUGCUUGGCAGGGCCAGUACAAGGGGCAUGUUAACGGGUGCACUGUCAUAUUAGAAGCGGUGGCAUCACAAGAUCUUUGGAUAUGGCAUUCUUUCUUUGGCAUGGCAGGUUCUCACAAUGAUAUCAACGUGCUGCAGCGUUCUCCAGUCUUCGCGAGGCUUGCAGAAGGCCACUCCCCACCUGUCAACUUUGAGAUCAACGGCCACCAUUACAACAAGGGAUACUAUCUAGCAGAUGGUAUAUAUCCUCAGUGGUCAACUUUUGUGAAGACAAUCUCGAAAUCCGAAGGUGAGAAGAGAAAGAGAUUUGCCCAAAUGCAAGAGAGUGUUAGAAAGGAUGUGGAACGUGCUUUUGGUGUGCUUCAAUCCCGGUGGGGUAUCGUUCGAAACCCUGCACUGUCAUGGGAUGAAGGGAAGCUUUGGGAGGUGAUGACUACUUGUGUGAUCAUGCACAACAUGAUCGUCGAGGACGAACGUGAGGAGAGUAUCUUCGGCCAAGGAUUUGAUUAUCAAGGUGAAAAUAUUGAGCCCCUGCACCAAGACUCGGCCACAUUUUAA
Molecule: ribosomal RNA, 1188 nt
Filed under: Triticum aestivum (bread wheat)
Lineage: Eukaryota; Viridiplantae; Streptophyta; Magnoliopsida; Poales; Poaceae
Description: partial small subunit ribosomal RNA
Source: RNAcentral